This 153-nucleotide small nuclear RNA is filed under the name Octodon degus (degu). Its description in RNAcentral is "U1 spliceosomal RNA (ENSODEG00000021031.1)". It matches the Rfam family "U1 spliceosomal RNA". Rfam says of the family: U1 is a small nuclear RNA (snRNA) component of the spliceosome (involved in pre-mRNA splicing). Its 5' end forms complementary base pairs with the 5' splice junction, thus defining the 5' donor site of an intron. The record is from RNAcentral. Lineage: Eukaryota; Metazoa; Chordata; Mammalia; Rodentia; Octodontidae.
UAACUUACCUGAUGGGGACACACCGUGACCGUGAAGGUGGCUUCCCAGGGCAAGGCUUGCUCUCUGCAUUUGGGAUGUGCUGACCCCGCAGCUUCCCCAAGUGGGGAAAUGACUGCAUAACUGGUGGGCGGGAUACGUUUGUGCUUUCCCCUG